CUGGAUUAGAAUGCUGCUCCUGCUGUUUCUGUGACGGUGGGCUGCCUGUUAGAGUGCUUGCGUGCCUCUCCAUCUCUCCCUCACACACUCUAUCUUUCUCUUGCUCUUGAUCUGUCAGUGGUCCUCUCUCCUUCUCUUUAAAGCUCCUUCUUUUCCUCUCUCUCUCUCUCUCUCUUUCUCCCUCUCUCUCUGUUCUACUCUGGCUACUGCAGUAGUCCACCAGCCAGCCGCAAGUCUGACAGUCACACACAUGGCUAACUGCCACAACUUACUACCUCAGCCUGGAGAAAAAAAAUAAGCAAGCAGAAGAAGACUGCAGAAGACAGCCCAGGGGACAAGCAGCGAGCGAAGAGAAGAAUCCUCAACACCUUUUCUUGCUUAUGGAUACAGAUAUGGAGCCCACUUCCACAUCCUCACAGCGUCAUCCUCUCUCUUUUCUCUGAUUGCAGAAGAGGACAAGAGUGCUCUCUCUCUCUUCCGACAGCCUUUUGCGAAGCUCCAACAGCGCAGCGUAUCCCCAUCUCCACCCCCCACACAGCGCCACCAUCUCUCCCACCACCCCCAACCCCCCUCCCCCCAGGAGGAAUAGACGGAUUACUGCUAACUGUGCACACGGCAGCCUGCAGCUGCUCUGACCAGGGCCAGCCCAGCGUUUGGGAGGAAGCAAGAGGAGCACAGAGGAGGAGAAGAGUGAGGGAUGACUGUGCCGGGAGUUCUUUAGCCUUUUUCUGUCUCUCAGUCUCUGUCACAACAGGGCUAAUCAGCGACCGACAAGCCCUUGGCAAAGUCACAGUGAGGGAGGUCUCUCACCCAAACAGGCAACCAGCCGACGAGCCAACACAUGUAUCAGGAGCUGAAAGAACAGGGGGAAUUAAAAAAGAAAAAAUCACUUGGUCACUUCUUCUCUCCUCCUCUGUCGUGUUUCGCAGCGUUAUGGAUCAUUGUGAUUUAUCCUCAGUGGAGCUGCGUUUUGGAGUCUGCAGCCUGGCAGGAGGGCAGUUAGUGG
Parambassis ranga (Indian glassy fish) is the source of this 1006-nucleotide long non-coding RNA. Lineage: Eukaryota; Metazoa; Chordata; Actinopteri; Ambassidae. The record is from Ensembl.